GCCAUAUAGCGUUAAACGCCAGUUCCCGUACCAUCACAGAAGUUAAGCAACGUCGAACUUGGUCAGUACCUAGAUGGUUGACCGUUUGGGAAUACCAGAUGCUGUAA
Non-coding RNA from Acanthosepion pharaonis, 107 nucleotides. The record is from the annotation of a GenBank genome assembly. Lineage: Eukaryota; Metazoa; Mollusca; Cephalopoda; Sepiida; Sepiidae.